This 1805-nucleotide long non-coding RNA is filed under the name Apteryx owenii (little spotted kiwi). RNAcentral's name for it is "lncRNA (ENSAOWG00000014245.1)". The record is from RNAcentral. Lineage: Eukaryota; Metazoa; Chordata; Aves; Apterygiformes; Apterygidae.
UGAGGAUCUCAUGUGUUUGAAAAUGGGAAGAAUCCUUUCUUUGUUAUGCAUUAGGGUAUUUUCCAGUCAGUAGGAUUUACUGGUGCCUCUCUGUCACUUUUCCUUCCCCCCCGCCUGGUUUGGGAAGGGAGAGGAAGGUUGUUUAGAAGUAGAUUCCCUCUGCUAUUAAGCAGUCAGUCUGUGGAAAAACUUAGGAUCCGCUGACACAAUUUACACUUAGGAACCAUGCUAAUUUUGUUUUGUAGGAAGAGGUUUUUGUAUUUUUAUUAUUGCCACCUGCAGCAGGUACAAAGGUGAUGUGGAGUACUGUGUGCUCAUUUAAAAUAAUUUCCUCAGUAAUGUACCGGAUCAAAAAUGAAGGAUGGUGCUGCAUGUAUUUUUAAUAGUAUGUUGACAUAUUUUUUGGAAACAGUGUAGUCCCUGCUUCAUUUGUAUUUAUAAUUUAGCAUGACUCAUAACCAGAAGUCAGAACUGCCCUGAUGAAAAGAGAAGACUGUGAUACUAAGAUUACAAGAGCCAAGGCAGAUUUUGUAUAUCGAAAGCUGACAAAAAAGACAAUUUGCAGAAGUUUCAGUAAGUGCAUCAUUAAAUCAUCCUUGGCUCCUUUUCAAUUUUUUUUUUUUUUAAAUGAUGCUUCUCUAAGCAAAAAUAUAAACAUCUGAAACACUGAAGGUGACUUUCUUGGAAGAACUAUUUUUUUCCCCACUAAGGAAAUAUAUUUUUUUCUGAAGAUGUCCAACUGAUUAAUGCCAGACCACAUGGAAUUAUUAAAUGAAAUCCUCAAGAUGUUCUAUUGUUUUUAUAGCACAAUUCAGUCGCCAGUUUUUUUCUGUAUGUGGAAAUAUUUGGCAGCUUUGUUGACCAGAUAGGCAAUGGUAUGUGAAUUUUACAUUUUGUAUAAGGGCCCUUGUUUCACAUUGAAAAUUUAGGGGUUAAAUGUUCAGUUAAAAGAGUGACUAAGUGAGUGCCUUCAUAAUUCCUGUAGAGUGUCAUGAGAAAUAAGAGUCUUUCAUCAUCCUCCACUCUACAAGAACUGGACAGGCAUGUUGCUUUUCUUAAAAGCAUUUUCAGACACAGCAAGCUCUCAAGUUUGGAAUUAUCUGUGGUCCUGCUGGCCUCAAGAACUCGCUGUGUUGCCAAUAUGGAGAUUAGUGUUCCUCUCGCUGUGGUGUGCUAUCAAGCUACUCAGCACAAAUACCGAGAAGUCAUUCUUGUAAUAACAUGUCCCACAGGCAUCUGAGAGGAAAUGCUUACUCAGAGUGCCCCAUGUUUGGAGGAUAAUGUUGGAGAUGCUUGCCACAGAGAACAGUCACCGUAUGAAGUGGGGAUGUCUUCCUGAAAACAGACUGUACAUCAGGCAGCCCUUCUCUAGCAGCAGAAUACUUCUGUAGUUCACAGUUUGAGGAGCUGAUUACAGGAGAAGUUUGGCUGGUAUCAAAUGCUGUGUCAGUUUUACUUUCAUGCUUUAACUACAUUGCACUUAAUUAGGCUUUGUCCACUACCAUUUUAAAGGGCCAGGUGGUCACACAAUAGAAAGGAAAUUUUCUGGCUUUAGUAUGUGAGGUAUAAAUUAAAUAUCUUAUAGUUGUUGAACAUCUAUUGUAACUUAUGGACUGCACUUUCUCAUUCAUUAUAUGUGUGAACUAAACAAAUCUGGCUUUGACUCAAGUGAAUUUUGGCAUGUGUCAAUGCCCUACUGGCCUUUAGGCCUUUCACAAGCAUGUGAUUCCACAUUUUAUGUGGCUAUGUACUAGUGAACGGAAUGUUUAAAUAAAUAGCAAUUUGAGUCACUUAGUCUUGAAUCA